GUGACCUCGGUCCGUUUGUUUAUUCAAAUCUAACGGUUGGAGCUGCACGUGGAGUGGCGGUGAUCCCUUCGGUUUGGACCGGGUUGUGUGCCUGACUGAAUGAAACUGACUGCAUUCUUUGCAAAAAAAAGUUGUGAUCCUGAGAUUGACCCAUUUUCCGUAGCUGAACUGCAGUGCUCACUUUUCAAAACUGCUGGUAACUAAGAUGGAGUGUAACUCUAUUCCUCACUAGACCUGUCAGCAACAGCUAAGAAAUUCAACACCAACAAAUUAAGCACUGGCAGUCUUGUGGAAUGCUACUAAAAAAGAGCAUGAGAAAUAGUCAGAAGUGAAGUUAACAAGAUAAAUAGUAGUUGGAAUCCCAGUACCUGUGCAACUGGAAUCCUAUAAUUUCGAUCAGGGCAGCAAACUAAAGGACAAAGUAUUACCAUUCUGUAUUUACAUUGGACCAUAUGUCUAUGGCUACCCUUUCCUGUGAAAAAUUGCUGCUAUCGUUUUGUGCUGCCUCUGUGGAGGUAGGUAAUGUAGUUUAUUUGCUAUAGAGGUUGCCUUCACUCUAAUAGAUAUCAUAAUACCAAGUUUAAUGCAUUCGAGACUUUGUAUAUAUAUUUUUGAUAAAUUUGAGAUCUGGACUUUCUUUGCUUUUAUUAAGAUAACUUAGUUUAAUAUACUUAGAUACUGUUACUUACAUGCAUGUGGAAGAUAUGGAAUGAGGUAAAUGGUACCAAAUCAGUUACUGGAAUUAUAUUUUGUGGAUUAUCAUUUCUAAGUUAUAAAUGAUUUUAAAUUUUAGACAUGGUUAAAUGGCAUAUGUUGCUUGGCAACAAGUAUUGAGAAUACCGUAAUAAAACAAGUUAGUCAGCUGAAAAGAAUGCCAGUUGGUUACUUGAGUGGCAAUUACAGGUACUUCCUAUUGAAAUUGAGCUGGUUUGAUUUAUCAAUUAGUCACAAUGUUAACAGAUUUGCUUCAGUUUACAGUAUUUGGGGAUCAGUUCUUGCGUAUAUUCUACAGGUUUACAUUAUCCAGAGCUGAUUUAGAAGCAGACUAAAUAUGGUGCGUUGGUGCACAAAAGGAACAACAAUAACACAAAGGUCAGACAUUCUCCACUUUCUUUGGCAGAUCCUAUCAAUCAUAAUUUGCGGCCUGGCUGGUUGGGGUGGGUGGAUGCAUGUGUAUGUGUUGCAUAUGAUCUUGUCUGGAUGGGAGUGAUGGGGGAUGUGGUUAGUGGGAGGGUGAAGCUGUCUACUAUUUUUUCAUGGUAGCAAAGCAAGUUUAAAUUCUAGGUUCAAUCCUUGAUCUACUUAUUUUGGAGCAGUGGCAGGGACACUAAAUUUGUCCUCCAUGGCCCAGGUUAAGUGUUCCUCCUCCUAAUGCUGUCCAGUAACCCCUGCUGGAAGUGCAGAGAUGGGUGUUGAAUGAGGAUAUGGUCGGAAAUUGGCUGUGAUCUUCCUCUCUUCUGGUGCAGUAGCCUACAUAUAAAAUUGAAACAUAAAUAACGGCCACUUGAAUAAGAUACAUGAGAAUACUUGUUUCUGUGGAACUGUACCUCAGCAAGUAAUUAACCCCUUUAGGAAAGAUAAGGGAAAAAAUUUGGUGGGAUGAUGAAAUGGUACACUUUUGUUAGUGUGCUCUUUAUUGCAUCAAAGGCAGCACAAGAAAAUACUUGAACGUGGACAAAUCAUUGAUUGGUUUGUUGCCUUUUAGUCCUUAAAAAAAAAAAAGCAAAAUCGCUGAACAACCUUUAAAAUUUUCAGAAUGCUUGCAGAUUACAGCAGGUGGCAUCUGUUUAUACAAAGGCUAUAUCAGUAAAUCUGAACUGUUAAAAUGAGUGUUUAAAAAGGAGUAAGAUGACUAUGGAUAAGCAUAUUAUUGGCAGCAGUAAGAAAGAAGCGAUUUUAAGUUUUUUUUUGUUAGUCAAAAUUGUUAAACACCAAAUGGAAUAUUUAAGGGACGCAAGUUGGAUAUAAAUAUGGGAAUCAAGAAAUGAUGGGAUAUGGCAUUUUUCUUUUAAAUCAAGAUUGUGAAUUAAUUGCAGAGACAAUCAAAGUGAGUUUGAGAUCUAAUGUGUUGAGAUCAGUAGAGCAUUAAAUGCCAGUAGCACACAUGGAGGGCAAAACAGACAUUAUAUACCAGUAUUGCGUGAAUAAUGGGGAAAGUCUUCUGAACAAGCAGAGACGAAGUGGAAUAAGACAGCAACAGGUGGUGCAUUGGAUAAGACUUGUAUUUUCAGAAAGUGAUAAACUCUGCAUUUGAAGCUUUCAAAGAUAAAUUUACAUGGUAUACUCAUUAUUAUUAAAAACAAAUACUGCAGAUGGUGGAAAUUGAAAUUAAACCGGAAAAUGCUGAAAAUAUUAAGCAGGUCGGGCAGCAUCUGUGGAGAGAGAGGGAGAGCUAUUUCAGAUUUGACCUUUUUAAUAGGUCACAUUUAAAACGUUAACUCUGUUUCUCACUCUACAGUUGCUGCUUGACCUUCUGAUAUUUCCAGCAUUUUCUGGUUUCUUUUAUGGUGUACUCAUUGUUUGGAAUGAGGUUGGGGUGUUGAUAAAUAAACAUAGCUCUGUUGAGGCAAACGUGAGUUUUAGAAUUCUGCAGGAAAUUAUUGAGUUUCCUGCUUUUACACUAUUCCAUAACAGUUUGGAGGAGGGCGCUAUAAAUAAUGGGGUGAAGAUUUGGAUAUAAUGCUUGACUAUUCACUAAAACUAUCCAGUGAAUAUGAAGCUGUUAACAAUGAUGGUCAACUAUGGAAAUGCAUUUUUAAGAUUUCUGGUUGUAAGACGAAGAUUAUUUGAAAUCUUAUUGGCAAGAUGUAAACUAUGCAUGCUAUAUUGUGUGCAGUUUUGGACACUUUUCCAGAGGAUAUUGAUUGGAAAGAGUUAGCCAAUGGGCUGCCUGGGAUGUAUCUAGCAUUUGUAUUAUUGAGACUCACUGAAUUAAACUGGAGAAAUGAUUGGAGAAAAGAUUUGAGAGGUAAUAUGAUCCAGGUCUCUUCAAAACCCUGAAAGAUAUGGACAAGUAAGGAUUUAUUUUAAGAUUUGAUAUUUGUGGGAGUACAAUGUGAUAAAUUUCCUGUCUUUUUUUCUUGAUUUUAUUCCUUCACUUGCUUGCCUGACCUGACUCCUCUGUACAUGAGGUGGGUGCAAGGCUUGUUGACUGGGCAUCAUCAAUACCCCUUGUAACUGACUGCAAGGAGGUACUAGGGACCAUUCAGGUAUGAUUGACCUCUCUAAUUUUCACUCCCCUUUCUGGGAAGAAACUUAGCUUCAAGUCCCACUUAACUCAGUUUCUGAUUUGAGUCUAUCCCUGUUCUGUGGCAAACAGAAUUAUUUUGAUUGUAGAUAGAGAAGUCUCAGACAAGAUCAGUGUUGGUGUGUCUUUAGUAAAUCAACUGAACAGAUUCCCAUGAUGCAACUGCUUUUUAAAAAGGAGUUUGACGAACAGUUGAUCUAGUAAUGGGAAUUUAAGGUUUAAAGAUAAAAAGGAAAACCUAAAUUAUUCCAUUGUUAUAGUUCCAGCCCUGUUAGGGCCAUGGAACUGCGCAAAUCGCAACUAAUUGGGGUUCAGCUUCUAUUAUUUUAUAUUUUGGGGUGACUGCUGAAAUUACUGUCAAGUCAGGAACUGUUUGCUUCAGGAAGCUAAAUAAAUUUUGGUGAUUCAGUGACUGAAAAUUAUAUAUGAUGAUUGGGAGUAUGGGCUUGAAUUGCUUUUUUCUUGUUCUAUGCUUUAUUAUGUUGUAUUUGUUUCAAUUUAAGACAUUAAGGGUCCAAAUUUUCCACUUGUGCUCAACAGAAAAGCUAUGCAUUAUGGAACACAUUGACCAAACUUGGAAUUUUGUUUUUUAGCAAGCACAAGGACCUUGCAUGGCAUUGUGGAGAGAGUUACAGACCCCAAAUAAAUUUUGCUUUUUUCUGUGCUUAAUUCUUUUUUUCUCCCUUUUUUAUCUUUGUAUAAGAGAUCCUUGUUCUAUUUACAAGACAGACCUGCUUUCAACCACUCUUAGUUGUCAACUGGUUCAGUGGUAGAACUGCCUCUGAAUCAAAAGGUUGCAGGUUCAAGCCCCACUCUAGGACAUGAACACAUAAUGUUGCACUGAAAUGAUGCCUAGAUUAAGACUACUAAAUUAUCUUUCAAUUGACAGAUUAAACCAAAGUCAUUCCUAUCUAUUCUGGUGCGUGUGCGUGGUGCGUGUGUGUCGGAGCAAUAUUCAAAGAAGGCACAGGGCUUCUCAAAGUGCCUUGGGCAUUAUUCAUUCCUUAACAGACAACUGAUCAUUCAUCUCAUUGUGAGAUCUUGCUGUACGACUGCCUACCUAACAAUAGUGACUAUGUGCAAAGUGAUUCAUUGCGCAUUGACCUGCGAUAUCUGAAGAUGUAAUGACUCACCAUGUAAAUGCAAGUUGUUUUCUUAACUGUUUGACUUAGCAGGCUUUUCCCUGCUCCCUCCACCAAAACAAAAUGUACAACUUGCAAUUGAGAAGUAGAAGUUAAGUCUGCUUUAUUUUAAGUACUUUGAUGUCAACGUUCUUGGCAUAAUGCCAAAGGGAAAUUAAAGAUUUCUAAUGUGCACACUUCUGUCUGUACAAGAGGAAACGUUGGGCCCUUAUAGUUGAACCUAGUUACUGUAAUGAUUGAACUUGGUAUGUUAAUUCAGAUUACUGUAAAAAAUUAUUUAAUAAAAUGUUAUUUCUGGUAAUGGAUUGUUCUAAAAUCCUUGUCUUUUAGGAAAAUAGUAUGUUGUAGGCUCAAUUUCAUGUGUACUGUAGACACUGAUGAUGUGUUUGUGGAAUUAAUUAUGUAUAUGUUUAUGUCAUGUUUUAUUACACUUUCUGUAUCCUGCUAUUUUGUGAAGGUAUUCUGUUUUUUGAUUCAGUUUCAAACUGUUCAGUGCUAUUGAGAGAAUGUUCAAAUGAGGCUACCCCAUUGAAAGCUAUUCCCUUGGGUACUUGAACCAAGGUGUUCUCUCAGUUGUGCUCACUUAUUGAUUCUUGAUUUUAAAAAAUUCUUUAUAUGAAAAUGUUUAUUGCUUGACUCAAUGUGAAGUAUGUUAUUUCUGGUAUAUAUUCUGAUAUGUAUUACUGGCAAAAGUGAUAAACCCACUUCUGUUGUUUUAUCAGACUGAUCAGAAAAAUGUAUAAUGUGUUGAGGUUUUUCAUUCUCUUGACCUUCUGUGUCUUUUAAAUUUCAGAAUCUUUUGUCAAGAUCCAUCUUUUAAAAAGAGGAUGUGUACACAGUCUGAAGGUUCCCAUUUGAAGCAACUGGCCUCCAGAAAGUGAAUGGAAUAAAGUGAAUAUAGUUUUUCUUAAAUACAAUUUGAAACCCCAUCAAAGGUAGCUUAUCCUCCUUGCCCUGGCCUAAUGACAAUGACAUUCUUGAUACCCUAUUCAAAAUGAUGUCUAAAUAUAUCAACUUAGCAGGUGUCUUGAAUUCUCUUUUUUUUGUCUAUACAGGUGGAAUUAUGCAGGUACCUUUUGUUUUAAGCAAGCUAGUUGUCCCAUGUUGACUAAUAGUCAAUUUAACAUUGGCUACCUGCAUACUCCAUUAAUGGCUCACUUCACUUAGCCAUUUGUAUUGACUUAGUAUAUUGCACCUUUUGUGCUAGUCAAAGAGCGCUAAGUGAAACCUGAAUGUUGGAGGGUUGUUGGGGAUUCAAACUCCUGCUGCCAGAAAAUCAGUUGUUAUAUUUAGAAAUAAUUUUGGACAUGCUAAAUAGUUUUGUAAUAGUAGAAAUACUUGAAAUUGAUAUGCCUCAUACAUCAAAGUUUAGGAAUAACAGGACUAUUCAGAGCAUAGUGUUUUUAAACAAAAAAUACAAACCCUUAAAUGAUUCCUUUUUUGUGGUGAUGGAUAAGACAUAUCAAUUUCAAAACUGCAGAAGCAUUUCUACGUUUAAAACUACCUAGUCUUAAAUUAUAGCUAUACAUGUCAAAGUAGUGACUGGCAGCAGAAGUGUCAUGUUUUGUUCUGCUGGAUUUUUUAUUUUUGCACUCUUAAGUGUAUCCACCCAUAUUACCACCUUUUGGACCACUUGGUUAACCUUAAUAGAUUUGGUUGCAAUGUAAAGCAUUCUAACAUGCAGCUGUUGAACAGUGCAAAGGGAGAAUGCUGUAGCAGUGCUAUCUAAUCCCCUAAUUGGCGCAUUGUAGGCCAAAAAUAUGAAGUUACAAAUCAUUCCCCCAUGCAAAACAUUCCACAAAGAUGUGUAUUAAAUGUUUUUGCAGUUCUAACAACUUUGGCCUAUUGCAAAAGACCUUUUUUGAAUUGCUUCUGACUAUAGUAUCCACUUUGAUUUAUUAACAAAGGUCUCAAUUUUUAAAAACACAACUGGCUUUGGUUGGGUAGUAAAAACUUCACUCUGCUAUACUUUAAACUGCAGAGAGGAUGCUGAAUAAAACUUGCAUUUUUUUCCUCACUAUGGAGGGAGAAUCUGUUUGUUGAAGUUUUCAAUUUCUUGGCUGAUUAGCUCAAAAUUGGCUUGAUAGGGAAAUUUGAUUUGGAGAGCAAAAAGUAAAGGAUGUGAAAUUAUAGGUAGAUGCAAGAUGUCUUAAUUUCAUGAUGAAAGUUCUGGGCUGCAGCAACAAUAUACCCAAGGAUUUGAAGUAACUGAAAUAACUUUUGACUUCACUCGUGUGUGUGUCUUGUGUAUAUAUGUAAAAUUUUCCUGAGUAAUUGCUUCACACAUGAUCAAGAAUGGGAGCCUCCAGAGAAAGUACAUCUAGUCCUUAUUUUUUUACUAAAGGUAUGAUUCAUGAAAUUGUACAUGCAACAUGUGGAUGGAACACCAUUCAGGAAAAAUUUUCAUACUGUGCUGUUAAAUUAAUGUAAAAAUGUGAACUUGAAGUGCAUUAACACUUUCAAGAUGCUGAUAUUUUAACCUAUUUUUCUUGUUUCAAUGGUAUUAAAGUAUAUUGUUUUGCGCAACUGAAAAUUAAUAAAAUUCAAAUUACUCACUUA
Molecule: RNA transcript, 6948 nt
Organism: Carcharodon carcharias (great white shark)
Lineage: Eukaryota; Metazoa; Chordata; Chondrichthyes; Lamniformes; Lamnidae
Gene name: sodium/myo-inositol cotransporter-like
Exons: 4
Source: RefSeq, a predicted model, not a curated record